AACUGCGAACGGCUCAUUAAAUCAGUUAUCGUUUAUUUGAUAGUUCCCUACUACUUGGAUAACCGUGGUAAUUCUAGAGCUAAUACAUGCACAUAACCGCGACUUCGGAAGCGGUGCGUUUAUUAGAUUAAAGACCAAUGCCCUUCGGGGCUGAGUGGUGAUUCAUGAUAACCUUGCGAAUCGCACGGCCUCGCGCCGGCGAUGGUUCAUUCAAAUUUCUGCCCUAUCAACUUUCGACUUUAGUGUAGUGGACUAAAGUGGUUGCAACGGGUAACGGAGGGUUAGGGCUCGACCCCGGAGAAGGAGCCUGAGAAACGGCUACUACAUCCAAGGAAGGCAGCAGGCGCGCAAAUUACCCAAUCCCGACACGGGGAGGUAGUGACAAUAAAUACUGGUACAGGGUCCUUUUGGGUCUUGUAACUGGAAUGAGUACAAUUUAAACCCCUUAACGAGGAACAAUUGGAGGGCAAGUCUGGUGCCAGCAGCCGCGGUAAUUCCAGCUCCAAUAGCGUAUAUUAAAGUUGUUGUGGUUAAAAAGCUCGUAGUUGAACCUGGGCCCCGCGCAGGCCGGUCAGCCUCACCGCUUGCACUGGCCCUGCCGGGGCUUUCACUAGGGGAUUCGCAUGUCCUUCGCUGGGCGUGCGCGGAACCUGGACUUUUACUGUGAAAAAAUUAGAGUGUUCAAAGCAGGCCUAUGCUCGAAUACAUUAGCAUGGAAUAAUGAAAUAGGACGCGUGGUUCUAUUUUGUUGGUUAUGGGA
Molecule: ribosomal RNA, 760 nt
Filed under: Moromyces varius
Lineage: Eukaryota; Fungi; Ascomycota; Sordariomycetes; Lulworthiales
Description: SSU rRNA
Rfam family: Eukaryotic small subunit ribosomal RNA
Source: RNAcentral